GAUUUAUAAGCCAAAAUAUAUAUCCAUACUGUGUCUUUUAAUAAUUCUUAAGUAAAGCCUUGAUUAUUUCUUUUAUCAUAGCUUCUAAUGAAAUACAGCCACUUCCUUCUGGAUCCAGAAUCUCUGAUGCUCCAAAAAGUCCGUUGACAGAACUUGUCUUGGAACCUAUUACACGUAGAAUUGAACCACCAAGGUCAACGAUAGCUCCAAAGGAGACUCGACGUAUCCCUUCUAAACCUAAAACUUCACCUAAACCUCAUAUCCCAC
RNAcentral lists this long non-coding RNA (267 nucleotides) under Athene cunicularia (burrowing owl). Its description in RNAcentral is "lncRNA (ENSACUG00000014690.1)". Lineage: Eukaryota; Metazoa; Chordata; Aves; Strigiformes; Strigidae. The record is from RNAcentral.